RNAcentral lists this ribosomal RNA (468 nucleotides) under uncultured bacterium. RNAcentral's name for it is "partial 16S ribosomal RNA". It matches the Rfam family "Bacterial small subunit ribosomal RNA", at positions 28 to 507 of the family's 1533-position model. The record is from RNAcentral.
GACGAACGCUGGCGGCGUGCUUAACACAUGCAAGUCGAACGGAAAGGCCCUGCUUUUGUGGGGUGCUCGAGUGGCGAACGGGUGAGUAACACGUGAGUAACCUGCCCUUGACUUUGGGAUAACUUCAGGAAACUGGGGCUAAUACCGGAUAGGAGCUCCGGCUGCAUGGUGGGGGUUGGAAAGUUUCGGCGGUUGGGGAUGGACUCGCGGCUGAUCAGCUUGUUGGUGGGGUAGUGGCUUACCAAGGCUUUGACGGGUAGCCGGCCUGAGAGGGUGACCGGCGUCAUUGGGACUGAGAUACGGCCCAGACUCCUACGGGAGGCAGCAGUGGGGAAUAUUGCACAAUGGGCGGAAGCCUGAUGCAGCAACGCCGCGUGCGGGAUGACGGCCUUCGGGUUGUAAACCGCUUUCGCCUGUGACGAAGCGUGAGUGACGGUAAUGGGUAAAGAAGCACCGGCUAACUACGUG